CAGUAGCCGCGGCAAUACGAAGGGUGCAAGCGUUAAUCGGAAUUACUGGGCGUAAAGCGUGCGUAGGCGGUUUGUUAAGUCUGUUGUGAAAUCCCCGGGCUCAACCUGGGAAUGGCAAUGGAUACUGGCAAGCUAGAGUGUGUCAGAGGAUGGUGGAAUUCCCGGUGUAGCGGUGAAAUGCGUAGAGAUCGGGAGGAACAUCAGUGGCGAAGGCGGCCAUCUGGGACAACACUGACGCUGAGGCACGAAAGCGUGGGGAGCAAACAGGAUUAGAUACCCCGGUAGUCCCUGUCUCUUAUAC
RNAcentral lists this ribosomal RNA (301 nucleotides) under uncultured bacterium. RNAcentral describes it as "partial 16S ribosomal RNA". It matches the Rfam family "Bacterial small subunit ribosomal RNA", at positions 509 to 807 of the family's 1533-position model. The record is from RNAcentral.